Molecule: long non-coding RNA, 7580 nt
Filed under: Homo sapiens (human)
Lineage: Eukaryota; Metazoa; Chordata; Mammalia; Primates; Hominidae
Description: HSALNT0289862
Source: RNAcentral
AGGCACUGGCGGCAGCUGGCGGGGCCCCUGAUCCUCACGGACUUCCUCCUCCCUCCGCUGUCUCCCCGGCCUCCCUGGGCUUUCCAGGAGAGCCGUCCACGCCUGCUGUGGGAGGAAGACGCUUUCCUGAGGCAGGGGCCAGGCAGCUUCUGUUGGCGCCUGGAACAGCUUCCGCUCAUCGCUUCUGGCGGCACACACUGCGGAGGUGAGACUGCAAAUGCCGCCCGCCCCACGUGGUGCAGGCUGAGUGCUCUGGUGUUUGUCCAAGCUGUUCCAAGCCCAGGAGGUCGGACUCUCACCGUCGUCUUGGUGAUGGCAACGCUGUGUCCUGCCCCACCUCGUGGCUGCCCCCACCUGUACCGGUGAGACCUGAGGGUACGGGUGGGGUGGAUCCUGCCAUUCCCAAGGGCUAAGUCCUGAGACCCUUUUGAAACCCCGUUUGAAAAGGUGACAAUAGCGUAUGGCUUCCCGCACCAAGUGCACACAGUACACUAGCGACAGGCACAAAGGCAACAUGAAACGGGCUGCUCUGUGCUCGGGUGUCGCAGAAGCACGGGCCAGAGAGCCGGUGGCUGCCCAGGACCAAAGGGACCCACAUCGACCUGCUGGGCACUGGGGCCUAGAGAGUGACCAGAGCGUGAUUAGAAGAGGCCGGAUCACAGGGAGCCCCAGUCCACUGAACCACAUCCAGAAGGUAGAAAGGUUGUUUCUCUCCCCUGGAUGCCUGUGGGGGUGGGGACGGCAGAGCCUCGGACACUGCCCGGGGAUCACUCUCAGGCUACUUUUCCCACCCUGCCAAGCUGCUCGAGACGUCAAAGGAGACCAGGCCGGUCAGCACACAGGCUUCUGGUAAGUGCCGCCCUCCGGUCUGGGAGCUCAGCUCUCCCCUUCUGACUCACCGCUCGGCGCUGACUCAUCGUGACGGCGAGUGGGGCUCCAGCUCCGCGGCAUUUCAUAGACAGCGCGGUCACAUUCCUUUCCAACAGUCGCUCUGGCCUCGAUGUCUAAGGCUCCGUGGGCAGCCGGCCUGUGGAUGAGGCGGCGGAAACCACAUCCUCUUCAUCAUCCUCUCACGAGGAAGGACACUGACAGCUUCGGAGAAGGCUGCCCAGUGUCUGCGGGUGCCCUUGGGAGAUGGCCUUGGGACACGGUGCCUGUGCCUGUGUGUGUACACCACGUGUGAACGCCAACUGGGAACACGGCCCCUUCGUAGGCAAACCCAGGCCUCCUGGAAGUCACAAGUUGAUAGCUGUACUCGCCCCUUUUGGAAGACGCACGCCCAAGGCACCCGUGUGUGCACACGUAUCCGUGUGUGGACCUCUGUCCACACGUGUGUGUUUUGAAAAGCCUUUCUCACCACAUGUUAGGAUCACAAGUGUUCAAAAUCUAGGCACACUUUUCAGAAGUUAUUUCUGGAAAAAAUGUUGAAUCUCAUAACAGCAAUAAAAGGAAAAUACCGCCUCAGCCAACAUAAAUGUCUCCUUGGAACAUGCCUGAAAAGCGGCGGAGUAUUUGUGUAAGUUUCAAUUCCAGCGUCAGAGCCUGCAGCUUGGCCGAGGCCGGGUUCUGCACAGGAGGGUGCACGGUCCCUUUCCGAAAGCCCCUCACCGGACUUCUGGGAACUCCCAACCCAUCCCGGGAACCCCACCUGCCGGCCCCGGAUCCGGAUGGGCUCCUGAUGUAUCCCACAGAGGGGAUGCCAACGUCAGACACCAGCAGGCUGGGGAGGAGCGGCUGUGAGGUGCAGCCGGCGGGUGGGCGGCCAGCCUCCAGGACAGACCUCGGAGGAGGCUGGGGGCUGCCUGCUGCCCUCGGGGCCCUGUGGUCCCACCACACCCGUGCCUGUCCCAGUGAUCCUCAUGUCACCGGCCCAGUGAGAGGCUGCUGCUACCAACCCCGCCAGCCUGCAGGCCGCUGAGUGCUGGGCUGCUCCUCCUCAGAGGAUGAGCGUGGGAAUAACCCAGUGGGGCGAGGAUGCUGACGGCGCCAUGGAUGUCCACUGAGGGCCCGAGAUGGGCCAGGCCGAGCUCUGUGCUUUGGAGUCAGAUCUCAUUUAAACCCAGCAGCACAUCCCAUUUCACACGUGGGAAGGUGGGGGAGUCAGGAUCAGAGAGCAGGGUGUCGCAUGGGGGAGCAGCCGGGCUGCGAUGUGAACCCUACAGUCUGCCCAUGAGCCGCACUCCUGGGCUGGACACUCCAGAGCCUUCUCAAGCAGCUUUCUUGGGGCUCCCUGAGCACCUGGCUGGAUGCUGCUGGUCUGGAACUCUGGACGGGGGCCCCGGGAGCUGACCUGCAAAGCUGUAGAGCGACUGUGAGGCACUGGCAGCUUUGCAGCCCCUCUGGACCCAGGGUGGGGUGGGCUGAGCAUCUGGCCUUCUGGGUCUAUCUGGGAGGCAGGGCUGUCUCAGAUCUGGGGCCUUCUGAGAAAGAUGUCGAACCCAAGCUUCCUUGGGGAAGGAGGCAGAUGGACCCCAGAUCACUCUCCUGGGUGUGAAAUCAGCUUUGGGGGUGCCUUCGGGGUCGGGCAGAACUGGGCUCACCCAGCUCUCGCCUUUUCUGGCUGUGUCACUUGGGUGAGCUCCUGAGCCUCUCUGUGCCUCGGUUUCCCUGUUGAUUAGGUCAGGCCAAGGAUUAAAUGAUGGCAAAGUCGUACCACGCUGGCUGGUUUUGGGCCUGUGGGGAUUCUUCAUCAUUUCUUCUCUUUCUCCUACUGCAGCUCCAGGCUACCCUGAGAUUUGCCUGCUGGGUCUGGGCUUCAUGGCGGGGCCAGAUUGGUGCCUCGGAGCAGAGGGCACAGGACAGAGCGGGCACCAAUGCACGGGCAGGUUUCCAGGCACUUUGGGAAGAAAUAAGAUCCCACCCAAGAACCUCUCCCCAACUCUGGCCUUGGCUCGUCCUGGUUGUUUCCAAAAGUGAAAGAAGGCAAAAGAGUGAGCCGAGGCCCACCGGGAACAACAACAAAGACCCGGCCUCGGAGUGGCGGCAGCGCCGCGGCCACUGCAGGAGAGCUCUGGUUUCUAUUAGUGGGAAGCGACGGCUCCGUCUCAGGACAGAGCUUGGGCCAUCAGCCCUCGGCGGGUUAACCCUUCCCCACCUCACUGCUCUCACAGGCAACAGGCACCCCUGAAGCUGGGAAGUCCUGGGGCCGGGUUCAGCUGAGGACUCCCUGCAUCCUGCCACCACCACCAACCAUGCUGGCGCUCACACACACACACACAUACGCACGCACACACGCACACACAUGCCUACACACACCCACACGUCUCACAGACACACACGCACACUCACAUGCAUGCACACGUGCCCACACAUGCCCACAUGUCUCACACACACGCAUGCCCACACAUGCACACACACUUAUAUGUGCACACAUAUGCACAAUCCACACCAGCACACACAUGCACAUACACAUACACACACACAGACAUGCAUGCACAUACACACCCAUACAUGCAAACACAUAUUCCUACACAGGGACACUCCACGCCAGGGCCAUGUCAUCUGAGGCCAAAUGAAGAGUUGGCAGAGGAGGAAGGCCUGGAGAGGUAGCGUGGAGGCCAGAGGAGGCCCUGGUUGAGACGUGCUUGCUGGUUUGGCAGGUGGAGGGACUUGGGGACCAAGUAACCCGGCUCGGUCAAACAUUCUCUCCCCAGGCACGGAUGCUGUGUCCCUGGGGAGCCCAACCUCCCCAAGUGGAGCUUGGCUGAGACCCCUCAGCAGCUCCGAGGGCCCCUGUGGGUUGUGAUGCCAGAAACAGGGCCAGAGCUCAGAGGAGGCACAGGGACUACGGUUUCCGUUGAAAGACGGCUCAGGGUCACCGGGCUCAGCAGAGGGAGGGCGCUUCAGGGGCGGUGACCGGGUCGCUUUAGGAAGAUGGGUGGGGGGCACUCGACUCCCAAGGCUGAGGGAGGGGAAAGGUGUGUGCACACUGCAGGCAUCCGGCCUUUGGGCCCCAGAGUGUGCCGGGCAGGUGUCAUCUCCAUUAACAGCUGCAGCCGCUGUGGAGGUGGCUGCCACCAUGAUACCCAUCGUACAGGUGAGGAGGUGGAGGUAGGAAGGGCGUGGCCUGUCUCAACCUGACAGGGAUGUGUGUAUGUGGCCACAUGUUGACUUUUUGUUUUAAAAUUUGGAUUCUACUGGGGAAAAAGAUUACAAUAAAGUGUCUGUGCUGCACCCAGGAAGGCAUGCCCACUGGGUAAGGCUCGGCACCAAGCGGCCUCUCACUGUGGGUCAGGCUCGCAUGGGGCGGGUGUGCCUGGCCCCUGUGUGAACCUGGAGCUGGCCAUGGGGAGAGGCUGCUCUGGGGCUUUUCAGAGAAUCCGUGGUUGAUUCCCUCAAGGACUCCCUCAAGGGGGCCACGCUCCUCCUCCCUGGGUCCCCUCCCUGGCCCCCACCCUUCCCUUUCUCAGGUCCUCCCUCUGACAGUGGCUGUAGCCCUCUGCUCCUAGCCCAGGGCAGCCCUGGCCUCUGGAGUCACAGUCAUGUGUUCAAGUCUCGGCCCCUUUCCCAAGGUGAGCUGGUCCUGCAGGGAUGCGGGAAGUGUCAGAAUAUGAAAACAACCAGGACAAGGACAGCUCAGCUUACCCCGCUCCAGCACCUUCUCCAGGUCAAGCACUUGGCCAGCCCUGUAGCAGCCUCCUCAUUCCAUCUCUCUGGUGUUUUACAGAUGAGAAAUGAGCACAGAGAGGUUAGGAGCAUUGUCCAGUGCCACAGAGCUGGCAUGUGCUUGUCUGGGCUGAGAACUCUAUGAAGCCUUGGAAAUGCUCCCCACAUAUGGAGCAGUGUGUUCAGGCCCCAUGGCCUGACCGGGAGCAGGAGGGAAGGACAGGCUCAGGUCUCGCAUCCCGGGAAGAAUUUCUCCUCAGUGCACCAGGGAAUAUCGCCUGACGACGGAAUCAGGUUUCUUUCCCCAUGACCCCUCCACCAUUAGUGUUCCCAGAAAGCCAGGGGCUGCUGUGCCCAGAGGAGGUGCACCCUGGGAGCCCUGCCUGCAGGACGGGAAGCAGAGCCCCCUCAGAACAGAAACUAGGAACAGAGGAGGGACAAGGGAGGGAGGGCAGAAGGUCCGGUGCCCUCAGUUUCUAUCCAUCCUUGGGUCGGAAACCUGGGAUGGAAUGAGUGAGGAGCUGGGUCCACAGGGACAGGAACUGGGGGAUACCAGGGGCUAGGGCUGCUCAUCCUUUCCCAAGGAGGAGCCAGGGAAAAAUUAAGCUCAUAGGGAAUGUCGGGUUCACCGGGCCUGGCGGACUCCAGAUCCCAGAGGCAGGGCACCCACACAUCUCUCACCGGCACGCACCAGGGCCCCGAUAGCCGGGCACCAUCAUGGCGAAUUACAUUACAUUGCAUUACCCGGGGACCACUAUCAUGACCACGUUGGGAGAGGAAACUGAGGCACUAAGCUGCCAAAGUCACGCAGCCCACAACACUGGAAGGCAAAGCAGCCGUCUGGACCCCAGAACUGGAGCUGUCCCCUCACUGGGCGAAACCCAGAACCCAGUGUUUGCUUCUUUCUCAGAGUAGCAAGAAGACAUGGCAGAGCUGCCCUCAGGCUGGAGGCUUGCAAGCCGGAGGCGCACCACUGUCUAAGCAAACCAGGCACGAGGAAACGCAUUCGCAAGCCUGAGAAGAUGAGUGGCCAUCACUGGCAUCACCGAAAUGGCCUCCUCAACCGGACGGGAAGAAUCCCUCCCCCAGCUGACUCCCCGAGAUGCUCCAUGCCCCACGUUCCUGACCUCCUAGGGGAAGGAGCAGGAGGAACCCAAGGCCAUCAGAGGGGCCUGGACUGUGGGUGCUGCCAAGUCUGUAGGUGACCCGGUGACCAUCCCGGUUUGCAGGGGACCAAGAUUCUUUCUGGGAUGUGGUGCUUUCAGUGGCAACAAGAAGAGCCCCCUCGGCAGCCCUGGCAAUCCAGGACAGUGGGUCGCCCCCGCACGGCCUGACGCUGUGGCGUGGAGUCUCCAGCGGGGCAGCACUGGGUUGGAGGAGGGAGGAUGCUGCCAGCAUCACGGGGAGGUCACAUGCCAGACACUGGUGUCUGAUUUCCCCUUGAGAGAGGUUUCAUCACUGCCCCGUCCUUGGAAAGGGUCACCCAGUCAGACUACAGAGCCAGGACCAUGAUCCAAAGCUGAGCAGUGCCCACCAAAGACAGUGUUCCCAGUGCUCAGGAGCCCUUGGGCCUUUAUAAGGUGUCUACCGUGGGACUAAAAAAACACCUGUCCCCAGGUGACAGCAUGCUGCCUUUGAAACACAGCUCUGUGAGAACACACCUGGCAAAGGCAGUCUUGGGGGCCACGCGGCAGGGACCCCUUUCCUUUACCAACUCUCACAGGCUGAGCCGCUCUUGCUGUGAAUGUACGUGGCCUUGGUAUGUUCUCCAGCAAGAUUAUAAGUGGAGGAUGGAGUCAGCUGGGAAGCGAGGCUCAGAUCAAGGAGGGCUACUACCAGGAUCCCUGCAGAAACAGGGACACAGGGAGAGAUGGCUGUAAAAUCCUUGAGCUUUAAGGGGUAAGCUCAUGGAGCCCUGAAAAAUAUGACUGCAUUGCAAAUGCCAACUUGUAGACACAAAUAUCGUGGAAGCAGGCCACGUUCAGCCUUGCACACUGUGCGCUCUUCCAUGACUGAGAACGUUAGUCACCUGCACCCUGACCAACCUCUCAUCCCUGAAGCCUGCUGGGAGGUGUCUGGGGACAGGAACGAAAAUUUACAAUGUUCUUUGGUUGUUUAAUUUUGAAUUUUCUCCCUCAUUAUUAUUGAAACUGAAACAUCUAAGAGGACACCCAGAUUUAUCUGAAACCGGAAGAUGACACGUAUGAAGGAUCAAGCAUUCAUCACAAACACAGGCAGGCGAAGGAGACCAAAACACAGCUAGGACCAUGCCAAGCGUCGGUGAUGAUGUGGAGAAAUGGGGACCUGCCAGACACUGCUGGUGGGGAGGUGACAUGGUGCAGCCACUAUGGAAAAUAGUCCAGCAGUUCCUCGAAAUGGAAAGCAGGAGUCCCAUGACCCAGCAGUUCCAUUUUCAAGGAAGUCCCCAAGAGAAAUAGAAACUUACGUCUUCACAAAAGCUUGAAAAUACACAUUCAUAGCAGCAUGAUUCAUAACAUCAAAAAGCAGAAACAGCCCAAAUGCCCAUCAGUGGAUGGAUGGAUAAGCACAAUGUGGCCCCUCCAUACGACACAAUAUUACUCAGCCAUAAGAACGAGUGAGGUAGCGGCACAGGCCACAAAGUGGGCGAACCUGGGAACCACGGGACUGAGUGGAAGGAGCCAGUCACAAAAGGUCAUGGGCUGUCUGAAUCCAUUCAUUUGAAUUUCCAGACUAGGCAAAUCCACAGAGACAGAAAGUGGGUUGGUGGUUGCAGUGGCUGGGGGCAGGGGGACAUGGGGAGAGUGCGGAGUGAGUACUAAUAGGUGUGUGGUUUCUUUUUUCAGUGAUAAAAAUGUACUAAAAUUUAUUGUGAUGGUUGCACAAGUCUGUGGCUGAAAACCACUGAAUUGUACGUUUUAAUGGGGUGCAUUGUUUGCGUGUGAAUCACAUCUCAAUAAAGCUGUUUUUAAAAUGCAAUUAUUGCACAAUGCAAA